GAUGAACGCUGGCGGCGUGCUUAACACAUGCAAGUCGAGCGAAGCAGUUAAGAAGAUUCUUCGGAUGAAACUUGAUUGACUGAGCGGCGGACGGGUGAGUAACGCGUGGGUGACCUGCCCCAUACCGGGGGAUAACAGCUGGAAACGGCUGCUAAUACCGCAUAAGCGCACAGAGCUGCAUGGCUCGGUGUGAAAAACUCCGGUGGUAUGGGAUGGGCCCGCGUCUGAUUAGGCAGUUGGCGGGGUAACGGCCCACCAAACCGACGAUCAGUAGCCGGCCUGAGAGGGCGACCGGCCACAUUGGGACUGAGACACGGCCCAAACUCCUACGGGAGGCAGCAGUGGGGAAUAUUGCACAAUGGGGGAAACCCUGAUGCAGCGACGCCGCGUGGAGGAAGAAGGUCUUCGGAUUGUAAACUCCUGUUGUUGAGGAAGAUAAUGACGGUA
This 447-nucleotide ribosomal RNA is filed under the name uncultured bacterium. RNAcentral's name for it is "bacterial SSU rRNA". It matches the Rfam family "Bacterial small subunit ribosomal RNA", at positions 28 to 477 of the family's 1533-position model. The record is from RNAcentral.